UACGAAGGUGGCAAGCGUUGUUCGGAUUUACUGGGCGUACAGGGUAGCGUAGGCGGUUGGAUAAGCCCUCCGUGAAAAUCGUCCAGGCCUUAACCUGGAAAGUGCAGAGGGGACUGUUCAAGCUGAGAGGAUGGGAGGAGGAGCGCGGGAAUUCCCGGUGAUGAGCGGUGAAAGUGACGUAGAUAUCGGAAGGAACACCGGUGGCGAAAGCGGCGCGCCUGGAUCCCGUACUGAACCGACGUGACGGCUACGGAA
This 255-nucleotide ribosomal RNA is filed under the name uncultured bacterium. RNAcentral describes it as "partial 16S ribosomal RNA". It matches the Rfam family "Bacterial small subunit ribosomal RNA", at positions 524 to 767 of the family's 1533-position model. The record is from RNAcentral.